This 412-nucleotide ribosomal RNA is filed under the name Sabellastarte sp. Samoa1. Its description in RNAcentral is "partial 16S ribosomal RNA". It matches the Rfam family "Bacterial large subunit ribosomal RNA", at positions 1927 to 2575 of the family's 2925-position model. The record is from RNAcentral. Lineage: Eukaryota; Metazoa; Annelida; Polychaeta; Sabellida; Sabellidae.
ACGGCCACAGUACCCUGACUGUGCAAAGGUAGCAUAAUAAUUUGCCACCUAAUUAGUGGCUAGAAUGAAGGAAUUGAUGGUAAGCCCCUUUAUUAUUCUUACUUAUAUAAAUUAGUACUCAGACGAACAACCCUGAAUCCCCCUGAAAGACAAAAAGACCCUACUGAACUUAAAGAAACACACUAUUUUCUAGACUACACUCUUUUAGCUGGGAAGGCUUAAGAGCACCCUAAACCUCUUAGUUUAUUAUUAGACACUAAGUCACUCAACUGACCCAUUAAAUGUUCACCAAAUAUAAGUUACCAUAGGGAUAACAGGCUAAUGCUUCUCAAAAGUCCACAUUAACAGAAGCGAUUGGCACCUCGAUGUUGGCUUAGGAAUACUCUAUAUCGCAGCCGGUAUAAUAAGUUGG